This 1033-nucleotide unclassified non-coding RNA is filed under the name Daphnia pulicaria. RNAcentral describes it as "uncharacterized LOC124313468, transcript variant X1". Lineage: Eukaryota; Metazoa; Arthropoda; Branchiopoda; Diplostraca; Daphniidae. The record is from RNAcentral.
CGAUUUAUCGUUUGAGAUUUGAUUUCGAAAUUACGUCCGUUGAUCGUCGAAACAUUCGAGAGAGUCGCCCUAAGGACAUUGGAAAGUGAUCCGGUGGCGGACGCGCGUGGAUCGUGCCAGUUGCCCUUCAAAACAGUUUGGCGCCCUUAAGCUAUUCCUUCCCCUUUCUACUUUUAAACUCAAAGAGUUGUGCAUAUACAACAACAACACACGUGAUGUUUUCGUUCGUUCACGGUGUGCUCGACCAUAACCAAGAAAAACUAAAAUCUUUUUUUGGGAAAAGCAAAGUUUUCUUGUUCAGCCAGAAACAAACUCGAAUCUUAUUCAUCUGCCGACUGCUCUCCAGUCGAGUCUUCUCGUCGUCUAAUUGAAACUGAAUUGUUGCGAUGCAUUCCAGAGAGAUUGUCAGAAAAGCUGGGCAGAGGAUCGAGUGGCUGCUGAAGAAAGGAGCCAAAUACUUUGGGAUCGCUAUUAUUAAGGUCUUCAAUCAACCCGGACUGUACACGGAAGAAUCCCGUACGUGCGUCUGCUAAAUUGAGAAAUGCCUAACAACAAAGAAAAACAAGUCUCUUCGGUUUUGAUGAGAUUGGAGACGACGGUCUGUACAGAAUUGCUGAUUCCUUCUCUCUCUUCCUGAUUUUCUACGUAUGUUUUUUAUUCUAACCCAUACAGCACGAAAUCCUGUCAGGAUUUUUGAUGCCCAUCAAUCAGUUUGAUUGAAGAUUCUGUUUUUUAGCUAAACUGUUGUGAAUUAUUCUCCUAAAAUGUGUUGCCUUGUGAAUUAUGCGUCCGUGUUCUUCCCUUUUUCCAAACGAAAACACAAACACAAUUGACGACGACAUUCUAUUUCGCCCUUUUUCUGAAUGAGGAUUCCACUUUUAUGCCAAUGGUUUCCUCAAACCAUUUUUUUUUUUUUUCAACAUGUGUCCAGUUUAUAUAUUUCCGAUUGGUCGGAUUGUGUUAUGAUAUCGUUGUCGUCGAGAUUUUUAAGGAAAAGGGAACAAAUUUUAAAAUACAAUUCAAAUAAUAACAA